GAUAAACAGAUCUAUGAUAAAAGGCAUUCGCUAUAAUAAACGUUCAUACGGGAAUCAGGCAUAUAGUUAGACAGUCGAAAUCAUGAUUACUUGGAGGUGCUGUGGGUUCCUGAUCGGAGUUCUGUUUACAGUAUUCAGAUCAUCCUGCUCUGUCAAGGUAUCAGAAGUAACAUGUACAAAUGGGGAGGAGUGAAUGUACUGACCAUUCAACAUGUGAUACAUCCGCGAGCAUACUGAAGAGUAAAUGUGACACUGGCUACGGAGAAGACUUGACUGAUGGAAGUACAUGUGUAAUGACUGUUAGUGGGAUCAGCUGUACGGCUAAUGGAAAAGAGUGUGACAAAAUAACUCAUGUCGUAUGUGACCAAACAGCUGGUAAAUGUAAAUGCAGUUCUGGUUACACAAUGAACGUUAACACGUGUGCAGCAGAUAACGCAGGUGUUUCAGCGAGAAUGGCAUUUGGCACGUUGGCAUUACCUGCCUUCGUUACAGUCUUGCAUAUAUUCCCAAAGCUGCUGUAAUGU
This is a long non-coding RNA of Mercenaria mercenaria, 524 nucleotides long. RefSeq lists it as uncharacterized. The record is from RefSeq and is a predicted model, not a curated record. The transcript has 5 exons. Lineage: Eukaryota; Metazoa; Mollusca; Bivalvia; Venerida; Veneridae.